GAGCUCAAAAGCCUGUCCAAGUAGAAUGAAAUCUUCUGUUUGGAAAAUGAUAAUGAGAUGCGUCAUCUUUACUCUCUUAUUGAUUGUUACAGAGCUCCAUGAAUAGAUGAACUUGCAGUUGUGCUGCUGAGGGACUUGGAAAGUAAUACUGGAGAGGCCAUCUUCUUUCAGCUUUGGCAACAGAUGAGCAAUUAAGACUGAGAGAAGAUUAAAAAUUUCCUUAUGCCAAACAUUCUGCAGUAGACAGCUUGCCUCUACAGUUAGAAAAAACAAGCUGGAAUAAUUUCACCUAGUUCUUGGACUCUCUGAAGUUACUUCACGAGAAUGACCUUGUGUUUGGUUGUCAAGACAGCGACCUGGAUUCCGUAAGUGUCCAGUCUUAUAUGGAUUAGCUCUUAUGACCACACUCAUAAGGACUAGAAUAAAAUCUAAAAAAGAAGAAUUGGUGAAUUGGUUGAUGCGCGCACACCCACAGAGUCAUUUUGUCAUUAUUCAGUGUAUUAAUAUAUCCAGAUUUUGAUAGAAUUCAAGUAAGGGUCAUCACAGGUUGUUCAAAAUGGUUAAAGAC
RNAcentral lists this long non-coding RNA (568 nucleotides) under Equus caballus (horse). Its description in RNAcentral is "lncRNA (ENSECAG00000044842.1)". Lineage: Eukaryota; Metazoa; Chordata; Mammalia; Perissodactyla; Equidae. The record is from RNAcentral.